This 1066-nucleotide long non-coding RNA is filed under the name Equus caballus (horse). Its description in RNAcentral is "lncRNA (ENSECAG00000046085.1)". Lineage: Eukaryota; Metazoa; Chordata; Mammalia; Perissodactyla; Equidae. The record is from RNAcentral.
CUCAGAUCAGACCUUUAUACCCGGUGCAGAGCAGCCCCUGGAUGAGGCUGCCCCUGGAAGGAGGUGUGGCCUUGGACAGGUCGUUUUCUUCUGCUGAGGCAGUCCUCAAAGAGGAUCUCUCAGGAGCCUGUGGACCCUGAGAAGAUGAAGAAGCCCUGUGUUGCACCUAUUUUGCUGAUAAGAUGAGUAAACCAAGGCUCAGAGAGGAGAAGAAAUUUGCUCAAAACCAUGCUGUACUGAGCUGGGAUGGGAAUCUGGCCCCAAAGCCCUCUCUGGACUCUGCCUUCUGUCGACCUUUGCUUCUACCCCACAGUGUUUGGGGAGCAGAUUCAUUGAGAAGAGGUCACAGAACUUGUAGUCAUUCACCCUAGACUGCUGGAGUCACUCUCCUCCAUCUCUUCAACAUGAGCUUCACUCAUGGAAAGGGUCAAUCAACAAACUGUUACCACGUGUCUCUCCCGGGCUGGGUCAUGCACUGGAUGCUGAGGGAUGAGCCAGACACAGUCCUGCCCUUGAAGACUCAGGACGGCAUACCGUCAGCAUCAUGACUAGAAAGCAUCGAAGAAAACGUAACGAAAUAAGCUCAUACUCUGUUUCUAAAGGCAAGGAAGUAUAUUCUACAUUUUGGAAAUCUUUCCACUCAAAAUUGUCAAAACAGAAAAACAAAGCCUUGUCGCUUAAGGGAAUAAGCUUCAAUGCUGGGGAAAAAAUUGCUCACAUGGAGCUGGCUCAUUUCCAAACACACUUGAUCAACGAGAGGUUACCACGUGGUGUUUGUAAAGGGGAGUUCAAACGUUGUUCUCGUAUAGCACAGAGGGUCCUGCGGGCUGCACAGACCCUCGUUUUCAGUCUCGGUGGUGACUUCAGUGUUUCAAACAAUUGAGAGGGGGGGAUUAGUUCUAAAGUCUUAUGAAUUGUGAAUAACUAUGAACGAAUUCUUACUUGUCUUUCUAAAGUAGAUUUCGUAUCUUUAUGAGCUAUUUCAUUUUUCCAUUAAAGUUUAAAAAAUAUAUUUUGAAUUUUCCCUGGCUUCAAAAUGAAGUCAUAAGACCUCAGAAUUGCCAAC